UUGAUCCUGGCUCAGGAUGAACGCUAGCGAUAGGCUUAACACAUGCAAGUCGAGGGGCAGCACGGUGUAGCAAUACACUGGUGGCGACCGGCGUACGGGUGCGUAACACGUAUGCAACCUACCCGCUAUUGGGGGAUAACCCGGCGAAAGUCGGACUAAUACCCCAUAUUAUUCUUACCGGGCAUCCGGUAGGUCUGAAAGAUUUAUCGAUUGCGGAUGGGCAUGCGGAUGAUUAGCUAGUAGGUGGGGUAACGGCUCACCUAGGCGACGAUCAUUAGGGGUUCUGAGAGGAAGGUCCCCCACACUGGAACUGAGACACGGUCCAGACUCCUACGGGAGGCAGCAGUGAGGAAUAUUGGUCAAUGGGCGCUAGCCUGAACCAGCCAAGUCGCGUGAAGGAUGACAGAUCUAUGGUUUGUAAACUUCUUUUGCAGGGGAGUAAAGUGCGACACGUGUGUUGUAUUGCAAGUACCCUGCGAAUAAGCAUCGGCUAACUCCGUGCCAGCAGCCGCGGUAAUACGGAGGAUGCAAGCGUUAUCCGGAUUUAUUGGGUUUAAAGGGUGCGUAGGCGGGUUAUCAAGUCAGCGGUGAAAUUUUUCGGCUUAACCGUAAAAUUGCCGUUGAAACUGGUGAUCUUGAGUGCGAGCGAGGUAGGCGGAAUGUGCCGUGUAGCGGUGAAAUGCAUAGAUAUGGCACAGAACUCCGAUUGCGAAGGCAGCUUACUAGUACGCUACUGACGCUGAUGCACGAAGGCGUGGGGAGCAAUCAAGAGUAGAUACCCUGGUAGUCCCCGCUGUAAACGAUGGAUACUAGGUGUGGGAGGUAUCGACCCCUUCCGUGCCGCAGCAAACGCAAUAAGUAUCCCGCCUGGGGAGUACGGUCGCAAGGCUGAAACUCAAAGGAAUUGACGGGGGCCCGCACAAGCGGUGGAGCAUGUGGUUUAAUUCGAUGCAACGCGAAGAACCUUACCAGGUCUUGACAUCCAAAGAAUCCUGAUGAAAGUCGGGAGUGCCUUAGGGAGCUUUGAGACAGGUGGUGCAUGGUUGUCGUCAGCUCGUGUCGUGAGAUGUUGGGUUAAGUCCCGCAACGAGCGCAACCCUUGCUAUUAGUUGCUAACAUUGAGUUGAGCACUCUAAUGGGACUGCCCGUGACAAGCGGGAGGAAGGUGGGGAUGACGUCAAAUCAUCAUGCCCUUUAUGAUCUGGGCUACACACGUGCUACAAUGGAUGGUACAGAGAGCAGCGAGACAGUGAUGUGGAGCGAAUCUCAAAAAGCCAUUCUCAGUUCGGAUUGCAGGCUGCAACUCGCCUGCAUGAAGUCGGAAUCGCUAGUAAUCGCGGAUCAGCAUGUCGCGGUGAAUGCGUUCCCGGGCCUUGUACACACCGCCCGUCAAG
This 1394-nucleotide ribosomal RNA is filed under the name uncultured bacterium. RNAcentral's name for it is "partial 16S ribosomal RNA". It matches the Rfam family "Bacterial small subunit ribosomal RNA". The record is from RNAcentral.